UACAGAGGGUGCUAGCGUUGUUCGGAAUCAUUGGGCGUAAAGGGCGUGUAGGCGGUUUGUUAAGUCAUGUGUGAAAUCCCUCGGCUCAACCGGGGAAGGACGCAUGAAACUGGCAAGCUAGAGUACCAAAGAGGGGGGUGGAAUUCCCGGUGUAGCGGUGAAAUGCGUAGAUAUUGGGAAGAACACCAGUGGCGAAGGCGGCUCACUGGUCCGAUACUGACGCUGAGGUGCGAAAGCGUGGGGAGCAAAACAGG
Molecule: ribosomal RNA, 254 nt
Filed under: uncultured bacterium
Lineage: Bacteria
Description: partial 16S ribosomal RNA
Rfam family: Bacterial small subunit ribosomal RNA
Source: RNAcentral